AUUGAACGCUGGCGGCAUGCUUUACACAUGCAAGUCGAACGGCAGCGCGGGCUUCGGCCUGGCGGCGAGUGGCGAACGGGUGAGUAAUGCAUCGGAACGUGCCCAGUAGUGGGGGAUAGCCCGGCGAAAGCCGGAUUAAUACCGCAUACGACCUGAGGGUGAAAGCGGGGGACCGAAAGGCCUCGCGCUAUUGGAGCGGCCGAUGUCGGAUUAGCUAGUUGGUGGGGUAAAGGCUUACCAAGGCGACGAUCCGUAGCUGGUCUGAGAGGACGACCAGCCACACUGGGAGUGAGACAGGCCCCAGACUCCUACGGGAGGAGGCAGGGGGGAUUUUGGAACAAGGGGGGCAACCCGGCUCCGGCCGGGCCGCGGGGGGGAAGAAGGCCUGCGGGUUGAAAACCGCUUUUGUGGGGGAAAAAACCCUUGGGGCAAAUCCCCGGGGGGGAUAACGGUCCCGGAAGAAUAAGCCCCGGCUAACUACGUG
Molecule: ribosomal RNA, 484 nt
Filed under: uncultured bacterium
Lineage: Bacteria
Description: partial 16S ribosomal RNA
Rfam family: Bacterial small subunit ribosomal RNA
Source: RNAcentral